Sebastes umbrosus (honeycomb rockfish) is the source of this 4093-nucleotide RNA transcript. It is a transcript of the gene named DAZ interacting zinc finger protein 1, with no coding region annotated. NCBI's taxonomy places the organism in Eukaryota, Metazoa, Chordata, Actinopteri, Perciformes, Sebastidae. The record is from RefSeq and is a predicted model, not a curated record. The transcript is spliced from 24 exons.
GGAGUCUUCCACCAUCUGGUAGCUUCACAGCUGGAUCCACCGGCGGGCCCUCAGACCUGCAGUGCAGCGACGGCACCACGCCAACCUGUGCCGGGCUCCCACCACAGACCCCGUCCAAAACACUUAAUCAAAAGGGACACUCUCUCCACUUGGUCCCGCAUGAAAAGGAAGCUGUUGGCCCACGCUGUGCACCUUGGCAGCUCGACAGAGAGCAACCCAGAUUGGUCCACUCUCCACUACGGUGCGAGGACAUUGGAGAGGAGGCCUGUGAUACAAUCUGCAUUCUCUAGCAGGUGCCAUUUCCGAGAAAACUGUUCAGCGAGGUGUCCGGGAAGGAGUCGCCACAUCGUGAGACAAAUAGGAAGUCUGUGGAAGUUCUCCGGAUCUAUCGGUGCAGUGUGUAGAGCAUGGUGUACUCUGUGAAGAGGACCCGCUCCCCAGACUCCCCUUUUCUCCAUUUCAAAGCACCAGAGCAGUCUGCUUCUCCCUUCCCCCCCCUUCAGCUGUGUUCUGUUCUCUCUGCAGGGCUGCGUCAAGAUGACGUCAAGACGCACACAACACAACCGGAAGCAUUCACCGGAAGUUCGUGUAUUUACUGCAGACAGCUUGAUGGGGGUUUUAGCAUUUAGGAAUGUGGAGCCCAGCAGCUACGUCAUCACCCCUCAAAUCUCUCUGGGGUCCCAACGACACAAAACUCCUCCAAAGCUGUAAAACACCACCACAAACCCUCCGGGACUCUUGUCUCCAUGGUAACGUGGAGGACGCCCCAGCCUCGCUGCCUGCAAGGGGGCGGAACCUAAGCUGAAGGACGGUGUGUCUCUCUCUCCUCCAGUGUGAAAGCAGAAUCAGUCGAAGAUGCCAUUUCACGACGGAGCCUAUUACCCCUACACCGGUGAGACCCAGGGGACCCACUCCUCAGCUGGGAUCCCCUCCCUCCUGAACUCCCCUCUCAGCCAGCACUCUGCUGCACCCGGCAUGACUCCAUCCAGCGCCGCCUCCGCCUCCGCCAUCGCCAUCCUCCCCUUCAAGUUCCGCCCGCGCCGGGAGAGCGUGGACUGGCGUCGCAUCAACGCCGUGGACGUGGACCAGGUGGUGAGCCAACUGGACGUGGACGCCCUCCAGGAGCACGUCGCCGGCGUCACCUUCUGCAGCCUGGACGGCGAGCGGUGCCAGCGGUGCCAGAGCCCCGUGGACCCGGCGCUGGUCAAGCUCCUGCGGCUGGCGCAGCUCACGGUGGAGUGGCUGCUGCACUGCCAGGAGUUCCUCGCCGGCAACCUGCGCGCGGCGGAGGAGAGGGUGGCGGCCGGCGGCAGGGAGCGCGAGCGCCUGCUGGUCCAGCAGAGGAAGCAGGAGGAGAGGGAGAAGGCGCUGACCGCCGAGCUCAAGCAGAGGAAGAAGGUCAUUCGCACGCAGCAGUCCAUGCUCUCGCCACGGAUCGUCAGUGGACAGAAGUGUCCACAUUGUGAUAAAUCCUUCCUCAAUUCCACGUUCCUCGAGAAUCACAUGCAGCGGCGCCACCCUGACGAGUACGACAUGGAGUUGCGGUCAGACAGCGAGAAGAAAUCUCAGAUUGACAGCCUCAAAUUUGAGAUCAGCAGUCUGAAGGAGCAGAUUGUUCAACAGCAGCAGGACCUGCAGGCCAAAACAGCUCAGGAAAAAGAGCAGCAGUCCAUGCACAAAGACGUGCUGAGAGAACUGGACCGGUUCAAAGCGGAGGAGAUGGCGCGCAUGGACAGGAAGAUAGAAGACAGCAGGGACGGCAUGCGCAGGGAGAUGGAGUUCCUUUACACCCGGAAUAUCCAGGCUGUCAACGAAGCAAAUCAGAAUCAGACAGCCAGACAAGAGAAAUCAGCCAGCCCUGUUCACUCACAGCCAGAGAGAGAUGUGGACAACUACAAAGAGAUGCAGAUACAAGCCAUGCAGAAGCUGGAGCAGCAGCUGAAGAAGCAGGAUAAAAAAUGGGGAUCCCGGCUGCAGGAAAUGAAGGCCCAACACGAGUCUGAAAAGAACCAGCUGCUGAACGAGAUGAGCAGGAUGCAGUCGUCGGUGUCGGAGCAGCAGGACAGCAGCCAGUGGCUGCAGCAGGAGAUGGGCAGGAGGCUGCAGGAGAAGGAGCAGACCAUCAAGGCUCAGAGGGAGCAGAUACGGAAUAUUUCCUCCCAUCCACCCACCAAAAUAGUGGAAGUACCAGUCAUGGUCAGUGCACCACCUCCGGAGCCUAAACCAAAGAGAGUUGUACUCGAGGAGCCAGUGUGUGCUCCUAAGCUGGAUCCUAUACAGGAGCUGUCAGAAGAGGAGAAAGAAUCGAGCAGCUUCUCUGAGAGGAGGCCAGUGGAGAAGAAGCCUGAGCCCGUACCGGAGAAGAAACCGAGGACGCCCAGCAGCGCUCUGAGAAAGAACCCCAACAUCAAGAAAGAGAUGCGGCCGGAUCUGGAGCAGGCUGUUAUUGAGAAGCUGGAGAACCUGGGAGUCAAACCUGAUCAGAGCGGUCUGAAGGACAAAGAGCUCAGCUCCAUCCUGGCCAGGGUGCAUUCGAAGCGGGAGAGCGUCGCAAAGGGGAUGCCUGACUACUGGCGCCACCGGGAGGAGCUAGCCAGCAGUGUGGAGCAGAAGCUGGGCGGUCAGAGGAGAGGCAGCGACCCGGCUCCAGAGUCCCAGGCCAGAUCCAGACAAUCAGUCCAAGUGUUGCAGAUCCGCCCCCGGUCCAGCAGCCUGCCCUCCAGAGCGACCCAGGUGUUGUCCGGACCCGCGGUCAAACAGCCAAAGACCCCGCAGCCGGCACCGAGGACCAGGACCGCUGUCCAACCCAAGACGUCUACACCCAACGCCAAGACCGCUCCGAGGACCUUCACAUCCAGGACCCCCCCUUUCAGCUCAGAUGAGGAGUCUGAAGACGAAGACUCCGAGGAGGAACAGCCCCAAAAACACCAGAGGGGCAAAUCGCCACAGCCCAGACUAAACCAGGUCCAGAUCAGAGCCAGCAAAGCCAGUCCGGUCCAGGCCAGGCAGGCUCCAGCCAAGUACUCCUUCUCCUCCAACCCACAGCAGGCCAAGAGGUCGGCGACCAAGACGGCAGUCAAACAGAUGGAGAGCGACGAAGAGGACGAGGACGAGUGGUCGGAGGUCAGCGAGCUGCAGGAGAUCAACCCCAAAAGUCUCCAGAAUUACAGAGACCAGAACGGCAACGUGGAGAAGAGGAACUUUGGCAAAGAGAACAAAAUCAACGACCUGGCCAGAAAAAUGGAGAAGCAGCAUGCGGAGAGAUCGACGAAGAAACCAGCAGGGGGCGUCAGCAUCUUACCAGAGAGGAAGGAUGAGGUUCAGGAGCUCUUGAGGACAGACUGGAAGUAUCUAAACCAGCUCAGGGCUCUGGACCAAUGAGGAAGAGCCAGGACUCACCCAGCACCAGCGUCUGGGGAACCUCGACAGGAAAGGCUCCCAAAUCAGGUCUGACUGAAGCUGGAACAGGAAACACCCUGAAGAGCAGCCUGUGCUCCCUCAGCGACAUCAGCGACUCCGAGGACUUUAGCAAUAAAUACAAUAAACGCUACGGCUGAUCAGGUGAUGUAGCUCUACGCCAAGCACCAACACAACGACCUCAGUCAACUCCUCUGACACCUACAGUCCAUGCCAAAUAGCCAUAUUUUAUACUGUUAUUACAUGGAAGCUAUAAUACAGAGAGAGCAAAACGUAAAGGGAUAGUUUGGGUGUAUUACCUACCUACAACCCCACUUCAAAACACCCAAACUAUCCCUUUAACAAAGGGACUUUGGAUUCAGAUAUUAGAAUAGAAAAGAAGACUAAUCUAAUAAAUAGAAAAUAGAGAUAAAUGAGAUCACAGCUUCCAUUGACUUUUCAUUUUCAGCCUCACUUUAUGCCUCGUGCCAAUUCUUUGCUUGCCUUAGACCUCUCCAGUGUUCAACGUUUUUUUUCCCGUUUGGUAUAUUCACUGAAAUAUAACCCACACACCAAAUGACAUGCUGUUUGUGUAAAGUUUUGUACAUCAAAUUUUUAUAAUGUGUUAAAUGAAGCAAUGUGAUUUUUGUAUAGAAAAUAUUUAUACGAGCAAUAAAAGAUUUCUUUGUGGAAUACA